AUAGAAAUUUUUGCCGGUGUUUUGUUCAGCUAAUCAAUGACCGAGUAUUCCUUGGCAUGAAGAGAUCAUCUGGCCUGACCUCGAUGAUGGGUGGCCAGUUAGAGGCCUACUUGCUCGACUAACCCAGAUGCUCUAGGGUAUAAACUCUACCAGUUCUCGUCAUACCCUGUGCUGCAAUAGCCUCUCUGAACCUAACCUUGCCUUUCCUUCUUGAAUCGGCUAUGUAGUCCUAGGGUAUGGUAUUUGUAUGGGUGUAACGGCCGACAUUGCCACUAGAAUUGGCAUGGCUAUCUUUACUCUGAACGAAGCAUACACCUUAGGUGGUGAACUACAACUUCAUGGGAUGUAGGCGCAUUUGUUGACGACAUGAAUUCAACCUCAAUUAGUGUUGGCGUCUUUGUAGAGGAUGGUGCUUCAAACUCAAACAGUAUGGACAUAUUCACCUUGGCAUCCCUAAAGGGUUGAAUCUUGACUACGAUCAUAUUAAGGGUAACUAUUGUCUUGUUUGGGUUGUCACCUUCUAUGAUUAAACCGAUCAAUCACUUGGGGUCCUAAUAGUCCUCUAUUUCAAUCAUGUGAACACCUUUACCCUUGUGAUCUAGCAGAGGGUUAUUACGGACAUUCGGAGCAGGUUCCUUUUCCACAAUAAUCUUAUUAUCAAUCAAAGUCUGGAUCUUAUCUUUCAAAGAGCGGCAUUCGUCAAUGGUGUGACCUUUUAUGCCGGAAUGGUACGCAUAGGACUUAUUUGGAAUAACCUACUGAGAAGGGUUCUCAGGAGCAGCAGGGAUAAGGGUGAAAUAACCAACAAUUUUGAGUCUUUCAUACAACUGGUCAAUAGGUUUAGCAAUAGCCGUAUACUAUUUUGGGGUUCUUCGGUCAAAGUUUGGUCGGGGUCUAGGAAAGUGUUGGCAUGGAUGAUGGGAUAGGUAGUGGGAUGGUUGAGUGUUGUAGGCUUGGUGAACAUAUGCUGGUUGAGAAUAUUUAGGUGAAAUAGGCUGAUAUAUGGAAGGUGAUUGAUAGGUGAGUGGUGGAGUUUGUUAAGAGGGUACGAGUGCUUGGCAGUUUGGGGUAGGCUGAUAUAUGAGUGGAGGCAUUGGGUAUGUUUGAUAUUUGACGGGAGAUUUGGUUCUCUGUGCCACUAUUACAGCUUAUACGUCCAUUUUCUUGGACACACCUCCUGACUGUAAGGCCUUAUUUGUAUCUUACAAGACCUCAAAGUUUGUAACCAUACUGCUUUUGAUGCCCUCUUCGAUCCCUUCUCCUAGUUUGAUAAUGUCAGAAAAUAUAUGGCCCUUGAUCAUCACCAGCUUUCAUAAUAUUGUGGAUCUUGAGCCCGAAGAAAGAAUUUGUUCAUUUGUUCCUCCUCUAAAGUGGGUCUGACCUUGGGAGCUUCGGACCUCCAACGAUUAGCAUACUCGCGUAAGGUUCCUGUGCGCUUCUUCUUCAAAUUUUUAAUAUAGAACACAUCUGGCGCAUUCCCCGUGUUUAACCUAAAACUGUCCAUAAAAUCAGAGGCCAUGCUUACCUAGUUCGACCACUUUUUUGGAUCUUGGCUAAUGUACCAAGAUAAAGCAUCUGCCUUCAUGCUCCUUAUAAAAAGCUUCAUGCGGAUUUUCUCGUCUUUUCCUAUUCCAACCAAUUUGUCACUAUAUGUUCUUAAAUGAACCUUUGAUCCAGUACCAUCAAACAUUUCGAACUUAGAAGGUUUGUACCUCUCGGGCAGUUCGACAUCAAGUUGUAUGCAAAGAUCUUUGUGGUUUAGCCCCUCAAUUCCCUUACUACCUUCAACACCUUGAAUUCAGCUAGUCAACUUUUUAAGUUUUUCGGCCAGGUUUUUUAUGAGCAAGUCCUUAUCAUCGGAAUCGAGUGUGCUUGAGAUGGGUUGGGUGGAGCGUGACACAGUCUCCACGUAGAUGGGGGGUAUUAUGUUAAGUGUGGUAGUGGUCAUUUGUGGAGUUCUAGAGUUUUAGGGUGAGCACUGGGGUGUUAUUUGAGGUAUGGCAGGUGUUGUAGUGGUGGUGAGGAGUGUGAUGGUUUUGUUGCUUUAUGAUAUUUUGUGGAGGUAUAGGAUUCUGAGCAUUUGGAAAAUUAACCUCUAGAGUGGUGAAGGAAAAUGACAAAUUUUCCAGAUUUCGAACUUGGUAAAGUUGUUCUCGAAAUUUCAACAUCUUUUGUUCCAGUUAGGAUGAAUUUUCCUUGGGAACCAGAGUACCGUGACCAUGAGUGACCUCUACCCGCUCAGUUGAGUUUUCCUUUAUGGCAUUGUUCAAAUCUUCGAUCUUCCCUUUGUUUGUGUCUGAUAGGACUGAGAGGAGGAGCAUGUGGAGGGUUCUGGAUUUCGUGAGAUAAGAUGAUGAUGCAGAGUGCACGAACUAACCUUUGGGGAGGGGAAUAAAUGAACAAAAGUAAAAUAAAAAGGUAACAAGUCAGUGAGGGUUAUAAAACAAUAUUGCAAUAUUUAAUCAUACGGUGCUUGAAUGUAAAGUGUAUCCUAAUUUAGGGACCUCUUUAUGCCCAAGGUAGGCUUAGCGACAAGUUAAUUUGGAGAACUUGGAAUGCUAAAUGCCUCAUUUCAUUGAUAGAAAUUAGACGGAUCCCAAAGUGAUACUAAUAACAGGAAAUAAAAGUCAAGUGGCCAAUUGCCUUAUUACAUUUUAUAAAGCAAAAUGAAAACUCCUAUCUAUUUGGUCCUAGUAUGACCUUCCCCAGAUUCGGCGUCCUUUGCUCCAUCGAAUAGCUUCCCUAAAUUGCGUAGUCCCAGCAGCAGGUAGGCUCUGGCUAGAUGUCCGCUUUCAUUUUCUUCAGCAGUUCGGUAGUCUUCGUCCCUUUUGAGAAAUUUCUUCUCCAACUCUACUAUACCUCGCUCAAAGUCGCUUGUUGGAACUGACAGCCAUAUCCUUCCACUCUUUAAUUAGUUCUUGAUUGGCUUCCUGUAUCUCACGAUGCUCGCUUUUGCAUUCUCGAAUCCUUUUGCGUAGUUGAUUGUACUUGACCUGUGCCUCGGCCUUCUUAUCUAUGAUCCUUUAACCUUGAGUGAACUCGAGUUGACCCAGACCAUCGUACCUAUCCUCUAAUCAGCCUGAAUAAUAUGGAGCACAACCAGCAUGGUAUCUAUCCGGCUUGAUGGUUUCCCUUCCUAAGACAAUCUUGCAGUACCACAUAUGCUGAGCAUGGCACUUGUAAGGACUAUCCUCAUCUUGGAAGUCAUCUCGGAAGUGACUCAUUUUGUUGACCCUAGGUAUAACCUGCUUCCUACCCGCUUGACUCAUUACUCAGAGAGGUAUGUUCCUCUUAAGCCGAUUAGUAUCAAGAAAGUUGUGUCUUUGGAUCGGACGAUGAACGCCUUGAUCGGGAACCACCCGAACAUCCAUUGUACCUGGUCCUCAGUCAAAUUUCCAAAGAGUUUGACCUAUUCUCUAGCAUCCUCCGAUUAGGCGAAUAUGUUGGGCAUGUAAUUCAUUCUCUUAGGAUGAUGGAAAGCGAUGUGAUCAUCCCAGUACCUUCGAUGGAUUUCUUGAUGGUAAUCACCCUUCUAGAGAUGUUCCACGAGACAAAGUUGAAGUAGCAAAUUAUAGCCUUCGAAGUGUUUAGCUCCCUGUUGACACCUUUCUAGGGCUCGGUAUAUUUUUGCAAUGAUCAUUGGUAUGGGAUUGAAUGGUUGUCCAUUAAUUCCCUCCAUUAGAAUUUUAGUUACCAUAGCUAGUCUGGUGUGGAUUCUUUCCUUCUUAGUUGGAAACACGAUCAAUCCCAGGAAACAAACAUGAACACAAAGACCCUUUGGUGAAUAUGUACCAAUAAUGUGAUGGAAAAUUCAUAAGGAUACGUACGAUAGGAUUUGUUGUGACCGUACCUUUCGUACAAAUAAUCAAAAGGGAUAUAGGAGUCUUUUAGACAUGUCAGUUCAGGAUUAUUCUUCAAACCCAUAUUCUUGAGGGAACCCAUGCUCUUACGGUUCUCAGGCAUCAACAAACCCGGUGUUUGCCAUGGUAUACUAGCCAAUCCCCCUAUUUCUUCUAGUAAGGGUGUCAUUUCAAUAUCCUUGAAGUAGAGCAAGGACCUUUCACGGUCCCAGAACAAAGUGACAGCUUCUAUGAUCUUGUUGUUGGGUUGGAUUUCCAGGAGAGAAGGUAGGUUCCCCAAAUAUUUUCGGACA
Molecule: long non-coding RNA, 4153 nt
Filed under: Nicotiana benthamiana
Lineage: Eukaryota; Viridiplantae; Streptophyta; Magnoliopsida; Solanales; Solanaceae
Description: long non-coding RNA (NBEN_LNC036673)
Source: RNAcentral